RNAcentral lists this ribosomal RNA (295 nucleotides) under uncultured bacterium. RNAcentral's name for it is "partial 16S ribosomal RNA". It matches the Rfam family "Bacterial small subunit ribosomal RNA", at positions 775 to 1067 of the family's 1533-position model. The record is from RNAcentral.
GGAUUAGAUACCCUGGUAGUCCACGCUGUAAACGAUGGAUGCUAGAUGUUGGUUUCAUAAGGAAUCAGUGUCGCAGUUAACGCAUUAAGCAUCCCGCCUGGGGAGUACGGUCGCAAGAUUAAAACUCAAAGAAAUUGACGGGGACCCGCACAAGCGGUGGAGUAUGCGGUUUAAUUCGAAGCUACGCGCAGAACCUUACCAGCUCUUGACAUGGGACUUUCGGGCUUAAGAGAUUAAGUUCAUCACUUCGGUGGGGUCCGCACAGGUGCUGCAUGGCUGUCGUCAGCUCGUGCCG